AGAACGAACGCUGGCGGCAUGCCUAAUACAUGCAAGUCGAACGAACACUUCGGUGUUAGUGGCGCACGGGUGCGUAACGCGUGGGAAUCUGCCCUUGGGUUCGGAAUAACAGUUGGAAACGACUGCUAACACCGGAUGAUAUCGAAAGAUCAAAGAUUUAUCGCCCAGGGAUGAGCCCGCGUAGGAUUAGCUAGUGGUGAGGUAAAGGCU
This 210-nucleotide ribosomal RNA is filed under the name uncultured soil bacterium. RNAcentral describes it as "partial 16S ribosomal RNA". It matches the Rfam family "Bacterial small subunit ribosomal RNA", at positions 26 to 265 of the family's 1533-position model. The record is from RNAcentral.